This 433-nucleotide ribosomal RNA is filed under the name uncultured bacterium. RNAcentral's name for it is "partial 16S ribosomal RNA". It matches the Rfam family "Bacterial small subunit ribosomal RNA", at positions 29 to 507 of the family's 1533-position model. The record is from RNAcentral.
AACGAACGCUGGCGGCAUGCCUAACACAUGCAAGUCGAACGAGACCUUCGGGUCUAGUGGCGCACGGGUGCGUAACGCGUGGGAACCUGCACUUAGGUUCGGAAUAACUCCCCGAAAGGGGUGCUAAUACCGGAUAAUGUCUUCGGCCCAAAGAUUUAUCGCCUUUGGAUGGGCCCGCGUUGGAUUAGCUAGUUGGUAGGGUAAAAGCCUACCAAGGCGACGAUCCAUAGCUGGUCUGAGAGGAUGAUCAGCCACACUGGGACUGAGACACGGCCCAGACUCCUACGGGAGGCAGCAGUGGGGAAUAUUGGACAAUGGGCGAAAGCCUGAUCCAGCAAUGCCGCGUGAGUGAUGAAGGCCUUAGGGUUGUAAAGCUCUUUUACCCGGGAUGAUAAUGACAGUACCGGGAGAAUAAGCUCCGGCUAACUCCGUG